UAGGGAAUAUUCGUCAUGGGCGAAAGCCUGAACUAGCAACACCGCGUGUGCGAAGAAGGCCUUCGGGUUGUAAAGCCCUUUUUGAGAGGAUGAGGAAGGACGGUACUCUCAGAAUAAGUCUCGGCUAACUACGUGCCAGCAGCCGCGGUAACACGUAGGAGGCAAACGUUAUCCGGAUUUACUGGGCGUAAAGCGCGUGUAGGUGGUUUGGUAAGUAGAGUGUGAAAGCUCCUGGCUCAACUGGGAGAGGUCGUUCUAAACUGCCGGACUAGAGGAUGGUAGAGGGAGGUGGAAUUCCGGGUGUAGCGGUGGAAUGCGCAGAUAUCCGGAGGAACACCAGUGGCGAAAGCGGCGUCCUGGACCACUCCUGACACUCAGACGCGAAAGCUAGGGUAGCAAACG
RNAcentral lists this ribosomal RNA (402 nucleotides) under uncultured prokaryote. RNAcentral's name for it is "bacterial SSU rRNA". It matches the Rfam family "Bacterial small subunit ribosomal RNA", at positions 355 to 774 of the family's 1533-position model. The record is from RNAcentral.